Molecule: small nuclear RNA, 164 nt
Filed under: Salmo salar (Atlantic salmon)
Lineage: Eukaryota; Metazoa; Chordata; Actinopteri; Salmoniformes; Salmonidae
Description: U1 spliceosomal RNA
Rfam family: U1 spliceosomal RNA
About the family: U1 is a small nuclear RNA (snRNA) component of the spliceosome (involved in pre-mRNA splicing). Its 5' end forms complementary base pairs with the 5' splice junction, thus defining the 5' donor site of an intron. There are significant differences in sequence and secondary structure between metazoan and yeast U1 snRNAs, the latter being much longer (568 nucleotides as compared to 164 nucleotides in human).
Source: Rfam by way of RNAcentral
AUACUUACCUGGCAAGGGAGACACCGUGAUCAAGAAGGCGGUUCACCUAGGGCGAGGCUCAGCCAUUGCACUCCGGCUGUGCUGACCCCUGCGAAUUUCCCAAAUGUGGAAAUCUCGAUUGCAUAAUUUCUGGUAGUGGGGGACUGUGUUCGCGCUCUCCCCUG